CAGUCGCCGCGGUAAUACGUAGGUGGCAAGCGUUGUCCGGAAUUAUUGGGCGUAAAGCGCGCGCAGGCGGAUCAGUUAGUCUGUCUUAAAAGUUCGGGGCUUAACCCCGUGAUGGGAUGGAAACUGCUGAUCUAGAGUAUCGGAGAGGAAAGUGGAAUUCCUAGUGUAGCGGUGAAAUGCGUAGAUAUUAGGAAGAACACCAGUGGCGAAGGCGACUUUCUGGACGAAAACUGACGCUGAGGCGCGAAAGCCAGGGGAGCGAACGGGAUUAGAUACCCCAGUAGUCCCUGUCUCUUAUACA
This 301-nucleotide ribosomal RNA is filed under the name uncultured bacterium. Its description in RNAcentral is "partial 16S ribosomal RNA". It matches the Rfam family "Bacterial small subunit ribosomal RNA", at positions 509 to 809 of the family's 1533-position model. The record is from RNAcentral.